This is a small nuclear RNA of Lutra lutra (Eurasian river otter), 136 nucleotides long. RefSeq annotates it as U4 spliceosomal RNA. NCBI's taxonomy places the organism in Eukaryota, Metazoa, Chordata, Mammalia, Carnivora, Mustelidae. The transcript has a single exon. The record is from RefSeq and is a predicted model, not a curated record.
AGCUUUGCGCAGUGGCAGUAUGGUAGCCAAUGAGGUUUAUCCGAGGCGCGAUUAUUGCUAAUUAAAAUUAAAUCCCUUGAAAUUGGGAUUGAAAUUUCCAAUAUUCAAUCCCAUUUGACAUAAAAAGGUCAAUUUU